GCAGCACCAGCGCGGCUGCGCCGGCCGUGGCGGGGCUGGAGAACGACGUGCCGUCCACGUACUCGUAGUUCGACUCGCUGGCAUUGCU
This 88-nucleotide transfer RNA is filed under the name Deinococcus aquiradiocola. RNAcentral describes it as "tRNA-Ala". The record is from RNAcentral. Lineage: Bacteria; Thermotogati; Deinococcota; Deinococci; Deinococcales; Deinococcaceae.